ACGAAGGGUGCAAGCGUUACUCGGAAUUACUGGGCGUAAAGCGUGCGUAGGUGGUUUGUUAAGUCAGAUGUGAAAGCCCCGGGCUCAACCUGGGAAUUGCAUUUGAUACUGGCUAACUAGAGUGAGGUAGAGGAGAGUGGAAUUCCCGGUGUAGCAGUGAAAUGCGUAGAGAUCGGGAGGAACAUCAGUUGCGAAGGCGGCUCUCUGGACCAUCACUGACACUGAGGCACGAAAGCGUGGGGAGCAAACAGGAUUAGAUACCCUGGUAGUCCACGCCCUAAACGAUGCGAACUGGACGUUGGGAUCAAUUGAGAUUUCAGUGUCGAAGCUAACGCGUUAAGUUCGCCGCCUGGGGAGUACGGUCGCAAGACUG
This 373-nucleotide ribosomal RNA is filed under the name uncultured bacterium. RNAcentral describes it as "bacterial SSU rRNA". It matches the Rfam family "Bacterial small subunit ribosomal RNA", at positions 525 to 896 of the family's 1533-position model. The record is from RNAcentral.